Vitis riparia (riverbank grape) is the source of this 1601-nucleotide long non-coding RNA. RefSeq lists it as uncharacterized. The transcript has 5 exons. Lineage: Eukaryota; Viridiplantae; Streptophyta; Magnoliopsida; Vitales; Vitaceae. The record is from RefSeq and is a predicted model, not a curated record.
CUCAAAAUGUCUGAAAAAACGCCUCUAGGUGAAAGAAAGACAGCGUCAUCAAAUGAAGCAGACACGGCCAAGGAUGUGCCGGUGUUGACACCUCCACCGCUAUCAUCCAACUCCCACACUCCACUCCGCUAGGCCAUCAUCAUCCAUGUGCCAGCCCCGUGCUCGGCACCCCACUGUCUCCUCCAGCUCCUCCUUUCUUUUUCUUCGUUUUCAUAUUCUUCUCCUAUCAAUCUGGGAAAAGGCAUUUUGAAUAACUUUCAUGGUUUUGGGAGCAACAUAGUAGACCUGAUAAAAGAUGAGUGAGUGGGAAAGUUGAGCUCUUGAACAAAGAAAGAAUUGAAUAAGUUCGAGAUUUUUACACUGCUUAAAUGGCUUGAAUAUGUUGUGAAUGGUCUUCUGAACGUAUCUCACCACUUGCUUCAAUUGCUUUGGAAAUAGAAUCAAGAAGGGAAGUAUUGGCUGAUAUAAUAUUGUUUCUAUUCUAGGAUCUGAGUGACAAUAAUGGCAAAUGUUCUAACUUCACAGGAAGCUUUGAAGAGAAGUGGAGGCUGGAUAUGGCUUAUGGUUUGUGACAUGUUUGCGGGGAAGUGGAAUCCAUUGUUUGCAUUGUUGUUACAUGGGUAGAGAUCCUAAAGAAGAGCUACAGAGAUUUGUCAGGUGAACUAGCAUGCUUUUGGCGUUUGUUUCUGUAGGUUAUAAUUCAGUUGUUCAAGAACAAGGUAUAAUUCAAGUUGCCAAUGCCUUACCAAGUAUAUAAGCCUGCAAGAAGUGGGUCUGCACUGUUUUGGUUCAUUUCCCUUCCUAUGUAGCCCACGUGGUUCAGCAGGGGGCUUGGGGGUGCAGAGCUUAGGGAAGCAAGAGUUUUCCACCUUGAUAACAAAAACGUGCGGAAACAGUUUGAUAUUUUGGCAUAAUUAGUAUUCUGAUCAAGCCUUAUUGGUGUUCGAAUCAGUGCUAUAAACAGCAUGGUCUUGUGGGUCUGGUUGAAAUUUUAAAUCAUGGUGGGCUAAUGGAUGGCCGAGGGAGCACCAUUGGCUUCAGUGAACAUCAAUUAUCGUGAUGCCAAAGAUUGGAGAAGAUAAGUUCCUAAAAAGUUCUUGCAAAUGUGUAUUGAUGGUCCAGGAAACAUGAAUAUGUCUUUCCCCCUAUUCUGAGAGAGGGAAAGAGAAGGAGCACUGCACUUGACUCGGGUACUAAUCAUGAACUGUACUAAUGCAAUCAUCAUCCGUAUUAUAAUUUAUAAGCAUGCAUGUCUUGGCUUUGAACUUUGUCCAGUCAAACAAAGAAGUUCAUAAAAAAUGAUGCUGCACCAUAUGAUUGCUUAAGAUAUGAUCAGUAAUCUGAUUAUCAUUCCAGAUGAUCAUUCGAUUGUCAGGGACCCAUCAUCCCAAUGCAAUUAUGUUGGCAUAUCUUUUUACUUUUUUAUUUUCUUUGGAAAUACUGUUGGAUGAUCCCUUCUCUUUUUCUCCCAAAAAAUACUAUCUGCAAAAUAUGUUUGCCAUGCUGAUUAAUGCUUUGCCCAAUUGAGAACUUUUAUGUUAGGGUUCAAAGCAAGUUGAGGGGAAUGGGGGCAAUCUAUGAAGAACUGCUUAUGAAUGCUA